RNAcentral lists this ribosomal RNA (468 nucleotides) under uncultured bacterium. RNAcentral describes it as "partial 16S ribosomal RNA". It matches the Rfam family "Bacterial small subunit ribosomal RNA", at positions 28 to 507 of the family's 1533-position model. The record is from RNAcentral.
GACGAACGCUGGCGGCGUGCUUAACACAUGCAAGUCGAACGGAAAGGCCCUGCUUUUGUGGGGUGCUCGAGUGGCGAACGGGUGAGUAACACGUGAGUAACCUGCCCUUGACUUUGGGAUAACUUCAGGAAACUGGGGCUAAUACCGGAUAGGAGCUCCUGCUGCAUGGUGGGGGUUGGAAAGUUUCGGCGGUUGGGGAUGGACUCGCGGCCUAUCAGCUUGUUGGUGGGGUAGUGGCUUACCAAGGCUUUGACGGGUAGCCGGCCUGAGAGGGUGACCGGUCACAUUGGGACUGAGAUACGGCCCAGACUCCUACGGGAGGCAGCAGUGGGGAAUAUUGCACAAUGGGCGGAAGCCUGAUGCAGCAACGCCGCGUGCGGGAUGACGGCCUUCGGGUUGUAAACCGCUUUCGCCUGUGACGAAGCGUGAGUGACGGUAAUGGGUAAAGAAGCACCGGCUAACUACGUG